RNAcentral lists this ribosomal RNA (434 nucleotides) under uncultured bacterium. RNAcentral's name for it is "partial 16S ribosomal RNA". It matches the Rfam family "Bacterial small subunit ribosomal RNA", at positions 29 to 507 of the family's 1533-position model. The record is from RNAcentral.
AGCGAACGCUGGCGGCAGGCCUAACACAUGCAAGUCGAACGAACCUUUCGGGGUUAGUGGCGGACGGGUGAGUAACACGUGGGAACGUGCCUUUAGGUUCGGAAUAACUCAGGGAAACUUGUGCUAAUACCGAAUGUGCCCUUCGGGGGAAAGAUUUAUCGCCUUUAGAGCGGCCCGCGUCUGAUUAGCUAGUUGGUUGAGGUAAUGGCCCACCAAGGCGACGAUCAGUAGCUGGUCUGAGAGGAUGAUCAGCCACAUUGGGACUGAGACACGGCCCAAACUCCUACGGGAGGCAGCAGUGGGGAAUCUUGCGCAAUGGGCGAGAGCCUGACGCAGCCAUGCCGCGUGAAUGAUGGAGGUCUUAGGAUUGUAAAAUUCUUUCACCGGGGACGAUAAUGACGGUACCCGGAGAAGAAGCCCCGGCUAACUUCGUG